GAAUAUUGGACAAUGGGCGCAAGCCUGAUCCAGCCAUGCCGCGUGCAGGAUGAAGGUGCUCAGCACUGUAAACUGCUUUUACUCGGGAAAAAUUCCCUGGUUUAUACCGGGGUUGAUUGUACCGAGAGAAUAAGGGACGGCUAACUUCGUGCCAGCAGCCGCGGUAAUACGAAGGUCCCAAGCGUUAUCCGGAUUUAUUGGGUUUAAAGGGUGCGUAGGCGGACUAUUAAGUCAGUGGUGAAAUCCCCAAGCUUAACUUGGGAACUGCCAUUGAUACUGAUGGUCUUGAGUACAUUUGAAGUGGGCGGAAUGUGUUAUGUAGCGGUGAAAUGCUUAGAUAUGACACAGAACACCGAUUGCGUAGGCAGCUCACUAAACUGUAACUGACGCUGAGGCACGAAAGCGUGGGGAGCGAACAGG
This 420-nucleotide ribosomal RNA is filed under the name uncultured bacterium. RNAcentral describes it as "bacterial SSU rRNA". It matches the Rfam family "Bacterial small subunit ribosomal RNA", at positions 359 to 776 of the family's 1533-position model. The record is from RNAcentral.